This 225-nucleotide unclassified non-coding RNA is filed under the name Hevea brasiliensis (rubber tree). Lineage: Eukaryota; Viridiplantae; Streptophyta; Magnoliopsida; Malpighiales; Euphorbiaceae. The record is from RNAcentral.
GGAAUUCGCACUGUGGGAGAGUGAAUUAAUGUGUCGGAUCCUCUGAAGCUGAUUUUUUUCUCAUAGUCCAGAAUGCAGCACAAUAUCGAUUUUGCAUCAUUGAUCUAGGAUUUGUUGUGUAUGUCGUCACAACUUUCCUUUCUUUCUCAAUCACGAAGCCGUAAUGCAAAAUAAUUUUCUUCACAUCUUCUAAACUUGGUUCAAUGGACAUUUCAUCUUCUUGAC